UGAGUCGGCCGGGUGAUCGCGGCCCCCGAACCCCACCUGCACGGGUGGAGGCGGGUGUCGAGGAAAGUCCGGACUCCACAGAGCACGGUGGUUGCUAACGGCAACCCGGGGUGACCCGCGGGCACGUGCAACAGAAAGUAGACCGCCUGACUCCCUCGCGGAGGCGGGUAAGGGUGAAAGGGUGCGGUAAGAGCGCACCGGCGGGCCAGGUGACUGGUCCGGCCAGGUAAACCCCACCGGGAGCAAGGCAUCAAGGUCUGCCACGUCGCAGACCGGAUCGGACGUUCGAGGGUGACUCGCCCGAGUUCGAAGCGUAGCUGCUUGAGGCGGCCAGCGAUGGUCGACCCAGAUGGAUGAUCACCAUCCUCACGGGAACAGGAUCCGGCUUAGAGGCCGGCUCAUUCG
The sequence is an RNase P RNA, 405 nucleotides long. It matches the Rfam family "Bacterial RNase P class A". Rfam says of the family: Ribonuclease P (RNase P) is a ubiquitous endoribonuclease, found in archaea, bacteria and eukarya as well as chloroplasts and mitochondria. Its best characterised activity is the generation of mature 5'-ends of tRNAs by cleaving the 5'-leader elements of precursor-tRNAs.